GACGAACGCUGGCGGCGUGCUUAACACAUGCAAGUCGAACGGAAAGGCCCUGCUUUUGUGGGGUGCUCGAGUGGCGAACGGGUGAGUAACACGUGAGUAACCUGCCCUUGACUUUGGGAUAACUUCAGGAAACUGGGGCUAAUACCGGAUAGGAGCUCCUGCUGCAUGGUGGGGGUUGGAAAGUUUCGGCGGUUGGGGAUGGACUCGCGGCUUAUCAGCUUGUUGGUGGGGUAGUGGCUUACCAAGGCUUUGACGGGUAGCCGGCCUGAGAGGAUGACCGGCCACAUUGGGACUGAGAUACGGCCCAGACUCCUACGGGAGGCAGCAGUGGGGAAUAUUGCACAAUGGGCGGAAGCCUGAUGCAGCAACGCCGCGUGCGGGAUGACGGCCUUCGGGUUGUAAACCGCUUUCGCUCAUGACGAAGCUUUGUGUGACGGUAGUGGGUAAAGAAGCACCGGCUAACUACGUG
This 469-nucleotide ribosomal RNA is filed under the name uncultured bacterium. RNAcentral's name for it is "partial 16S ribosomal RNA". It matches the Rfam family "Bacterial small subunit ribosomal RNA", at positions 28 to 507 of the family's 1533-position model. The record is from RNAcentral.